CCUACGGGUGACAGCAGUGAGGAAUAUUGGUCAAUGGUCGGGAGACUGAACCAGCCAAGCCGCGUGAGGGAUGAAGGUACAGAGUAUCGUAAACCUCUUUUGUCAGGGAACAAAGGCGGGGACGUGUCCCCGGAUGAGUGUACCUGAAGAAAAAGCAUCGGCUAACUCCGUGCCAGCAGCCGCGGUAAUACGGGGGAUGCGAGCGUUAUCCGGAUUUAUGGGGUUUAAAGGGUGCGCAGGCGGUCUGUUAAGUCAGCGGUCAAAGCCCGGGGCUCAACCCCGGCCCGCCGUUGAAACUGGCAGUCUCGAGUUGGAGAGAAGUAUGCGGAAUGCGCGGUGUAGCGGUGAAAUGCAUAGAUAUCGCGCAGAACUCCGAUUGCGAAGGCAGCAUGCCGGCUCCACACUGACGCUGAGGCACGAAAGCGUGGGUAUCGAACAGGAUUAGAUACCCUUGUAGUC
This 459-nucleotide ribosomal RNA is filed under the name uncultured bacterium. RNAcentral's name for it is "partial 16S ribosomal RNA". It matches the Rfam family "Bacterial small subunit ribosomal RNA", at positions 338 to 795 of the family's 1533-position model. The record is from RNAcentral.